AAUUCCAACACUUUUAAAUAAAAUAAUAAUAACACGGGUUUAAAUCAUCAAAAUUCUCAAAAAAACUGUACAGAAGGUCAAACCCCAAUACGAAAAAUUCCCAACACCUGGGUGAGCCGGGCGUCACUUAGUACAUAAGCGUCUAUAUAAUAUAAGUCUGGAAAUAUUAUCUAUGAAAGACUGAAACUAAAUACAUGAAGCUAAAAGUAAGGGAAGGAAAGACAAGGUCUAUGAACACCGGGCAACUACCUUAGAAUCUCCAUACGAUCAAGCUGCCCAUAGAAUAUACACCCACCAUGUUCGGAAACACCUGGAUCUGCACACGAAGUGCAGGGAGUAGCGUGAUUAGUACAACCAACUCAGUAAGUAACAAGACUAAAUAAUGGACUGAAAGUAGUGACGAGCUUCACGAAUAUAGUUCAGUUACAGAAAUUACAGCAUAGGAAGACAAGCAUGCGUUCAAGUUCGACAAUUAAGGCUAAAACAAUUAAUCAUGUCAAAUUCAAUUGAAACGUGAUAUAAUAUAUGUCAGAAAUUGCAUAACAAUGAUAUAGGCCAAUCGAAGCACAACAGUAAUCAGUUACCUAGUCCUCUUAUUAACUCCAACCUCACAGUCACUCAUUUCCCCCAGUCUUCGUCACUCGCACUCAGCAUCGCACCUAACAUUUGACACUUGGUACUCACACUCAGUAGGUACCUACGCUCACUGGGGGUGUGUACAGACUCCGGGGUGUCUAUUUCAGCCCAAGCGCUAUAACAACCCAAUCGUGACAUAAAUCAAUAAAACAUGUUGCGGUGUGCAGUCCGAUCCCAUAAGUAUCCUCACCAUCAGGCCCUCGGCCUCACUCAGUCAUCAAUCUUUUCAAUCUCUCGGGCUCUUAGUAAUCAUGAUAAUUAGCCCAAAUAAUGAUGGCAUAGUGCAUCAAUAAAGAACAAUAGAGACUGAGAUAUAAUAUGCAAGUAAACCUAUAACAGUAUAAAAUACCAAUUUAGCAAAUAAUUCAAAAUGUAACACGACCUAGAUGGGUCCUUACAAUAUAAACAUAUAGCCUAAAAUAUGGCUUCUACCAUGAUUUGCAGUUCAAUUUCUAUAACAUAUGGAGAAUAUUCGGAUAACAACAGAUUAUUCAACUAUACAGUUUCAUGGAAUUGACCAAGUCAAAAUUCAUACGGUGCACGCCCAUACGCCUAAUGUCUACCAUGUGUCACACCUCCUUUUCACUACACCCGCAAGGGCGUAAAGGAGUUCUUCCAGUUAAAGGACAGUCGGAAUGGGAUUUGAUUAUUAAUUAUUCAGAGUCGCCACUUGGGAGAUUUAUGGUGUCCCAAGUCACCGAUUUGAAUCCCGAACCGAGUAAGAUUAUGACUCUGUUAACAGUCUGCGAACAAGAGAUCCGGAUAAGGAAUUCUGUUAACCCGGGAGAAGGUGUUAGGCAUUAUCGAGUUCUGUGGUUCUAGCACGGUCGCUUAACAGUUGUAUUUUAUUUUAUAUGAUUUUAAUACAUGCUAGCUUAUCUGCUUUUUAUUUAUAAACCACUUUUACCAUUAUUUAUUUUAAAAGACUUGUGACGUCGUGAAAAUACAUCUCUGACCACGUCGCCAUCAAGGCACCCAUGGUCGUCAACACAUUUCGACUUCGUCGAGAUUUGGAUUUGGGUCGCAUCAAUGCGCACCCGAGUUUAAGAAGGUAAUUUAAUUAAAACGCGUCUAAAGAUUCUAUCACAAUAUUAUUUUGGGGGAGUCCGUGAAAUUCGCUAAACGGCCCUCCCGAAUUCUAAGUAAUUUUAUGUAAUCAUUAUUGAGAGCCCCAUAUUUAUGUUUGUUCGAUAAGGCUCGUCUCAAUUUUUAUUUUUAAAAGGAUAAACCUGAAAAAUAACUAUGUUUUCCAACUUUGUUUUUAUCUUAAAAAAAAACAAAAAGCCAAUGACAAAUUGCUGGCCCAAAACAACGGGCCCGCGACUUGGAGAAUAAGUAUCAACUAUCGAUUCCUACCUAUACCCACACACGAUUUCAAAUGUAAUCACAUUACAGGCGCGCAUACAUCGAACUACAGCAUCAAUCCAGUGUAAAAUAUAACCGGGGUCACACUUGUAUCCUCAAGCGCAGGAACAACCCAGGCCCUAUGUGUAUGGGCUCAAAACUACGACCACGGGGAGACAAUGCAUCCUUAUUCGAAUUUUAAAAAAUACGUUUGAACUCUGUUUAGUCCACAAAUUAGCCUAUCCAAUUGCAUACUGAAUGAGAUUAUUAAAUUAGAUAAAGCUAAGCUACUGUUAUAUGCCCAUAUGCCUAUAAUGAAUGGAUUAUUAUCAAUGCAUCCUACUCAGUUAAUAAUCAACUAAUAACAAAAUGAAACAAUCAGCAACCAAUAUUCUCUAACCAAAUUGAGCACCAUUCACCUUUACGACAUCCUUAUAUUUGAGAUACUAACAACUGAAUUCAAACAGAUAGCUCAAGUUUCAAUCUUAAUUAAGCAGUUCAAGUCUUACAGUCCAUGAUUUAAUACGACUCUAACGGAUUAAAAUCAAUAGAUUAAAACUCCAAGCAGGCAAAUAGAACACAGGUCAGAGGUGGCUUCAUUUCAUUCAAGGUGAGUUCCAACUGUGUUGCCUGGACAGCAAAAUAAGAGGAAGAAAAUGAGAGGCCAACACAGCAGUGCGACAGUGAACAAUCACAAGUAAUCCAGGAAUAGAAAUCCCAAUCCAAGGAAGUUGAAAAUCAACAGCAGUAAUUAAGUCAACGAACUCAAAUUGCACAUAAUCUCACCCCCAGCAGAUGUGAAACUCCUUAAAACCCAACACACUUUUUCAAUAAGCCUAAAACCCCACUAGAACUAUAAAGUAGGUUGAAGGUCUUUAGAUGAAAUCAGAAGGGGUCUGGUGAAUUCUCAAUGAAACAGUAGAAACAUUUUUUAGGAUUUUCGAAAUUUUGUAUUGCCUUUUGAAUUUUGAACCGCAGAGGUACUUCAGAUUUAGGAUUCAGAAUGGAAAUAAUAUUUUCGAGCUGGUUAUUAUUAUAUCUCCAUGAUUUUCCUUUGUUCUUUUGGAUUUUUUUUUUGAAAAUUUCUGAUGUUUUUGGUUUUUUUAUAUGAAGAAAGCUAAAACCUAAGGGAAUUUCAGAUCUGGAAGCUUGAGGGUAUUUUUUGGGCUGUCAAACUUGUGAAUGAAGUAAAUGACAUGCCCUUAUAUAGGGCAGCCCUUAUUUUCUGUUUUCAAACUCAGUCUCUUCCUUAUUUUCAUAUUAAUCCCUUCUUUUCUGACUUGUGCCACAAGUUAGCAUACUUAUUUUGCUGAUAUCUAAACUAAAGCCCCUCCCUAGAAGGCUCUACGUGAUUCUAGUAUUGCCCACAACAUUCUUAUGAUUUUAAAGUACCAAAUUACCCCUACCCCUGAUUUGCAAUAACUGUUUUUGAUAAAUCGACCAUUUCUCAUGCCCAGACUACCCCUGACUCUUCCCCUGAAAUUACUGAUUCUCCCAACCCCCCAUAAACCAGUAUGAAAACAUUAUCAGCUAUAACCAAUAAGCAAACAUACCAAUUACUAAUUAAUCCUAUUAAACUAACUCCUAAUUAAUCAUUUGAACACUAAAACUAAAGUUUAAACCAAAGAUCAGAUUCCAAGCUUAAAAGAACAAUAAUAUGAUUCAAAUCAUCAAACUCAACAAUAAUCUAAACUCGAACUCAAAUUAAAUCAAACAAGCAUAAAAAAACGACGGAUUCAACAAUCAAAGCCUCACUUAUCACAGAAAGGAUAGCAGGAAAAUGAUAAAAAAAAACUGACGGAAAUCAAAGAAGAACCAAAUUAAUUUGAAUAAAAAUGAGCAAUCAAAACCAGGCCUUAUGCAUUUGAACAAACUAAUGACGAACUUAAAGUUUAUACUACCAAUUAAUCAAGGAGCAACAAUACGAACCUAAUUCAGAAACACGAGAGAAUGAGGAAAGAAACAGAGAUUAAGAUUAGACGAAACUCACUGACUUUUGACACCCGAUGGCUUGACUGGCCUCGAACUCGACUUCCAGUUAACGUUGUGUGUUUAUUUCGUCUGAAAUAAACACGUAACAUUAGCUCGAAGUCAAUCGAGCAGUCGAAUCCCCACUCAGACUUGAAUUUCAAAAACCCUAUAUUUACGAUUUGACGACCUCCGGUGAUAUCUGACGGAAACUAAUGAGGGAUUGAUAAUGAGGGAGGUUAGGGGAAAGUAUGGUGAAAACUUGAGCGGAUUUGGACGAAGUCAUGUUCCAUGUCGAAAAUUCGACUCAAUAUUCGACACUUUUGAUGAGGGCUCUGGGGAAACUGAUACUGGGGGUGGAAAAAGGAGGAAGAAAGGAGCCCAGGGUGUAAUUUUGGAGCCCAUCGGAGCAUCGCCGCCGGCAGAGGCGAUUUCUGGUAGGCGGCUCAUGGUGGCGUUACACAGGUACGAGGAAGACGACAUCGGUCGUUAAGGCUUGACCUAUUUUUGGACCAUCUUAUUACAUUAAGG
RNAcentral lists this long non-coding RNA (4479 nucleotides) under Nicotiana benthamiana. RNAcentral's name for it is "long non-coding RNA (NBEN_LNC032714)". Lineage: Eukaryota; Viridiplantae; Streptophyta; Magnoliopsida; Solanales; Solanaceae. The record is from RNAcentral.